RNAcentral lists this ribosomal RNA (592 nucleotides) under Suillus brevipes. RNAcentral describes it as "eukaryotic LSU rRNA". The record is from RNAcentral. Lineage: Eukaryota; Fungi; Basidiomycota; Agaricomycetes; Boletales; Suillaceae.
GCCGGAGAGUUGUAGCUGGCCCCAGGGCAUGUGCACGCUCUCUUCCGGACUUUCGCCGUAUGGGCGCGGGGCGACCCGCGUCUUCAUAUACCUCUUCGUGUAGAAAGUCUUUGAAUGUUAUUACCAUCAUCGAGUCGCGACUUCUAGGAGACGCGAUUCUUUGAGACAAAAGUUAUUACAACUUUCAGCAACGGAUCUCUUGGCUCUCGCAUCGAUGAAGAACGCAGCGAAUCGCGAUAUGUAAUGUGAAUUGCAGAUCUACAGUGAAUCAUCGAAUCUUUGAACGCACCUUGCGCUCCUCGGUGUUCCGAGGAGCAUGCCUGUUUGAGUGUCAGUAAAUUCUCAACCCCUCUCGAUUUGCUUCGACAGGGUGCUUGGAUGUUGGGGGCUGCCGGAGACRCUGGACUCGUCCAGGACUCGGGCUCCUCUUAAAUGAAUCGGCUUGCGGUCGACUUUCGACUUUGCAUGACAAGGCCUUUGGCGUGAUAAUGAUCGCCGUUCGCCGAAGUGCAAGACAGAACGGUCCCGUGCCUCUAAUGCGUCGACGCCUCUCGGGGCCGUCUUCCUCAUUGACGUUUGACCUCAAAUCAGG